This 291-nucleotide ribosomal RNA is filed under the name uncultured bacterium. Its description in RNAcentral is "partial 16S ribosomal RNA". It matches the Rfam family "Bacterial small subunit ribosomal RNA", at positions 28 to 312 of the family's 1533-position model. The record is from RNAcentral.
GAUGAACGCUAGCGGCAGGCCUAAUACAUGCAAGUCGAACGGGAUCCAGAUCAAAGCUUGCUUUGGUUUGGUGAGAGUGGCGCACGGGUGCGUAACGCGUGAGCAACCUACCCUUGUCAGGGGGAUAGCCCGGCGAAAGUCGGAUUAAUACCGCAUGACAUCAUUGAGAGGCAUCUUUCGAUGAUCAAAGAUUAUCGGACAAGGAUGGGCUCGCGNGACAUUAGCUAGUUGGUAAGGUAACGGCUUACCAAGGCUACGAUGUCUAGGGGCUCUGAGAGGAGAAUCCCCACC